This 254-nucleotide ribosomal RNA is filed under the name uncultured bacterium. RNAcentral describes it as "partial 16S ribosomal RNA". It matches the Rfam family "Bacterial small subunit ribosomal RNA", at positions 524 to 776 of the family's 1533-position model. The record is from RNAcentral.
CACGUAGGGGGCGAGCGUUGUCCGGAUUUAUUGGGCGUAAAGAGCUCGUAGGCGGCUUGGUAAGUCGGGUGUGAAACCUCCAGGCUCAACCUGGAGACGCCACUCGAUACUGCCAUGGCUAGAGUCCGGUAGGGGAGCGUGGAAUUCCUGGUGUAGCGGUGAAAUGCGCAGAUAUCAGGAGGAACACCAGCGGCGAAGGCGGCGCUCUGGGCCGGAACUGACGCUGAGGAGCGAAAGCGUGGGGAGCGAACAGG